CGCCUCUUGUAUACAUAAGAGGUCCAGCCUGCCCAGUGACUCUUGUUUAACGGCCGCGGUAUCCUAACCGUGCGAAGGUAGCGUAAUCACUUGUCUUCUAAAUAAAGACUAGUAUGAAAGGCAUCACGAGAGCUAAACUGUCUCCUCUCUCUAAUCAGUGAACCUAAUCUCCCCGUGAAGAAGCGGGGAUUCCCGUAUAAGACGAGAAGACCCUAUGGAGCUUUAAACAUCAUAACACUUGCUACCACAUUUCACUUACCCCGGUAUUUCUUCUUACAGCACACUGAUUAUAUGUUUUUGGUUGGGGUGACCGCGGAGAAAAACUAAUCCUCCGCAAUGAAAGGAAUCUUCCCUAAACAGCAAGCCACAACUUUAUGUAUCAGCAAACUGACAUUCAUUGACCCAAUACAUUGAUUAACGAACCAAGUUACCCUAGGGAUAACAGCGCAAUCCACUUUAAGAGCCCCUAUCAACAAGUGGGCUUACGACCUCGAUGUUGGAUCGGGGUAUCCUAGUGGUGCAGCCGCUACUAAAGGUUCGUUUGUUCAACGAUUAAAACCCC
Molecule: ribosomal RNA, 562 nt
Filed under: Pristimantis myops
Lineage: Eukaryota; Metazoa; Chordata; Amphibia; Anura; Strabomantidae
Description: partial 16S ribosomal RNA
Rfam family: Bacterial large subunit ribosomal RNA
Source: RNAcentral